GACGAACGCUGGCGGCGUGCUUAACACAUGCAAGUCGUACGGUAAGGCCCUUUCGGGGGUACACGAGUGGCGAACGGGUGAGUAACACGUGAGUAACCUGCCCACAACUUUGGGAUAACGCUAGGAAACUGGUGCUAAUACUGGAUAUGUGCUCCUGCUGCAUGGUGGGGGUUGGAAAGCUCCGGCGGUUGUGGAUGGACUCGCGGCCUAUCAGCUUGUUGGUGGGGUAGUGGCCUACCAAGGCGGCGACGGGUAGCCGGCCUGAGAGGGUGACCGGCCACAUUGGGACUGAGAUACGGCCCAGACUCCUACGGGAGGCAGCAGUGGGGAAUAUUGCACAAUGGGCGCAAGCCUGAUGCAGCAACGCCGCGUGCGGGAUGACGGCCUUCGGGUUGUAAACCGCUUUCAGCAGGAACGAAGCUUUUUGUGACGGUACCUGCAGAAGAAGCACCGGCUAACUACGUG
This 465-nucleotide ribosomal RNA is filed under the name uncultured bacterium. Its description in RNAcentral is "partial 16S ribosomal RNA". It matches the Rfam family "Bacterial small subunit ribosomal RNA", at positions 28 to 507 of the family's 1533-position model. The record is from RNAcentral.